This 254-nucleotide ribosomal RNA is filed under the name uncultured bacterium. RNAcentral's name for it is "partial 16S ribosomal RNA". It matches the Rfam family "Bacterial small subunit ribosomal RNA", at positions 524 to 776 of the family's 1533-position model. The record is from RNAcentral.
UACGGGGGGAGCAAGCGUUGUUCGGAUUUACUGGGCGUAAAGGGCGCGUAGGCGGCCACCGCAAGUCGAUUGUGAAAUCUCCGGGCUUAACCCGGAAAGGUCAGCCGAUACUGCGGGGCUAGAGUGCAGAAGGGGCAACUGGAAUUCUCGGUGUAGCGGUGAAAUGCGUAGAUAUCGAGAGGAACACCUGCGGCGAAGGCGGGUUGCUGGGCUGACACUGACGCUGAUGCGCGAAAGCUAGGGGAGCGAACGGG